CCUACGGGAGGCAGCAGUGGGGAAUAUUGGACAAUGGGCGAAAGCCUGAUCCAGCAAUGCCGCGUGAGUGAUGAAGGCCUUAGGGUUGUAAAGCUCUUUUACCAGGGAUGAUAAUGACAGUACCUGGAGAAUAAGCUCCGGCUAACUCCGUGCCAGCAGCCGCGGUAAUACGGAGGGAGCUAGCGUUGUUCGGAAUUACUGGGCGUAAAGCGUACGUAGGCGGUUAUUCAAGUCAGAGGUGAAAGCCCGGGGCUCAACCCCGGAACUGCCUUUGAAACUAGAUAGCUAGAAUCUUGGAGAGGUUAGUGGAAUUCCGAGUGUAGAGGUGAAAUUCGUAGAUAUUCGGAAGAACACCAGUGGCGAAGGCGACUAACUGGACAAGUAUUGACGCUGAGGUACGAAAGCGUGGGGAGCAAACAGGAUUAGAUACCCUGGUAGUCCACGCCGUAAACGAUGAUAACUAGUUGUUCGGGCACUUGGUGCCUGAGUGACGCAGCUAACGCAUUAAGUUAUCCGCCUGGGGAGUACGGUCGCAAGAUUAAAACUCAAAAGAUAGUAGGCGUGNGAGAGCGACGACGACGACGACGGAGGAGG
RNAcentral lists this ribosomal RNA (594 nucleotides) under uncultured bacterium. RNAcentral describes it as "bacterial SSU rRNA". It matches the Rfam family "Bacterial small subunit ribosomal RNA", at positions 338 to 953 of the family's 1533-position model. The record is from RNAcentral.